GGGGAUGUAGCUCAAUGGUAGAGUGCUUGCCUAGUAUACGCCUUGCCAUGGUUCUUUGCAGAGCUAGUGAUUGAGUGCUUUCUUAGCAUGCAUGAGGCCCUGGGUUCAAUCCCCAGCACCACAA
RNAcentral lists this transfer RNA (124 nucleotides) under Ictidomys tridecemlineatus (thirteen-lined ground squirrel). RNAcentral describes it as "Spermophilus tridecemlineatus (thirteen-lined ground squirrel) tRNA". It matches the Rfam family "tRNA". Rfam says of the family: Transfer RNA (tRNA) molecules are approximately 80 nucleotides in length. Their secondary structure includes four short double-helical elements and three loops (D, anti-codon, and T loops). Lineage: Eukaryota; Metazoa; Chordata; Mammalia; Rodentia; Sciuridae. The record is from Rfam by way of RNAcentral.